GAAAUAUAAACAAAUAAGCUUCUAACUUAAUUUAUAGCGUUUCAACGUUAAUAUUUCU
This 58-nucleotide transfer RNA is filed under the name Meloe poggii. RNAcentral's name for it is "tRNA-Ser". Lineage: Eukaryota; Metazoa; Arthropoda; Insecta; Coleoptera; Meloidae. The record is from RNAcentral.